Molecule: ribosomal RNA, 253 nt
Filed under: uncultured bacterium
Lineage: Bacteria
Description: partial 16S ribosomal RNA
Rfam family: Bacterial small subunit ribosomal RNA
Source: RNAcentral
UACGUAGGGUGCGAGCGUUAAUCGGAAUUACUGGGCGUAAAGCGUGCGCAGGCGGUUCUCCAAGUCCGUUGUGAAAGCCCCGGGCUCAACCUGGGAAUGGCAGUGGAAACUAGCGAGCUGGAGUGUGGCAGAGGGGGGUGGAAUUCCGCGUGUAGCAGUGAAAUGCGUAGAGAUGCGGAGGAACACCGAUGGCGAAGGCAGCCCCCUGGGAUAACACUGACGCUCAUGCACGAAAGCGUGGGGAGCAAACAGG